UACGGAGGGUGCAAGCGUUACUCGGAAUCACUGGGCGUAAAGCGCGCGCAGGCGGCCAUUUAAGUUGGAUGUGAAAGCCUACGGCUCAACCGUAGAACUGCAUCCAAAACUAUUUGGCUAGAGUGUGGGAGAGGAAGAUGGAAUUAGUUGUGUAGGGGUAAAAUCCGUAGAGAUAACUAGGAAUACCAAAAGCGAAGGCAAUCUUCUGGAACAUUACUGACGCUGAGGCGCGAAAGCGUGGGGAGCAAACAGGAUUAGAUACCCUAGUAGUCC
This 273-nucleotide ribosomal RNA is filed under the name uncultured bacterium. RNAcentral describes it as "partial 16S ribosomal RNA". It matches the Rfam family "Bacterial small subunit ribosomal RNA", at positions 524 to 796 of the family's 1533-position model. The record is from RNAcentral.